UGGACCAUAAAUGCUUAGGUUGGUGUACCUAAGCAUCUAGAGACAUUUCUUUUGUUGUAACUUAGACUGACAAUCCUCCUGUGUUUUGUGGUACUACUGAUGAAACAAGGUUGCAAUUUGGGCUUAGAAGUUUUGCUUUAUUAGCUUGUAUGACAGCAAUAGCCAUUUCAGCAAUACCAGAUUUAAGAAUGUCAUUGAAUAAAGUCAUUCUUGUUAUUUUGUUUUUAAUUGCCUGAGCUUGAUGACACUCAUUCUGAUAGAAAUCGAGUUCAUAAUUUGACAAAUUAUUACUGCAUG
This 297-nucleotide unclassified non-coding RNA is filed under the name Hevea brasiliensis (rubber tree). The record is from RNAcentral. Lineage: Eukaryota; Viridiplantae; Streptophyta; Magnoliopsida; Malpighiales; Euphorbiaceae.